Pan troglodytes (chimpanzee) is the source of this 1326-nucleotide long non-coding RNA. RefSeq lists it as uncharacterized. The transcript has 3 exons. NCBI's taxonomy places the organism in Eukaryota, Metazoa, Chordata, Mammalia, Primates, Hominidae. The record is from RefSeq and is a predicted model, not a curated record.
AAGGCUGAGGUGGGAAGUUUACAGGUCCAGGCCCAGUCAGACAAUGAAGUCGCUGUGGCCUCGUGACUCCUGCGAGCUCCCGCGCUGUCUGAGUCAGGUGCUCGCUUCCCCCUUCCACACCCCGGUGUCCUGCCGAGCCCACCUCGAGAUAUCACAGGCUCUGGCCCCACCCAUGCCGGGAUACAUUCACUGAGCUUGAGGAGUGUGGUGCUCCCUUCUGAGAGAAGCUGAGGGUGGAACUGGCUGGUUGAGGUGACUGGCAAAUCCCACCAGCCGUGCCGUGGUCAGGCCUGUCUGAGGUGGGCAUCAGCGAGCUCUGGAAGAGGAGCCUGUACCACAAAUGCAGCCACUGCUGUUGGUUUCUGUGUCCCCGCUCAUUUUGUUUUCCAGUGAUGUUCCUCUUAAGAAAAUGCUCCUGACUCAUCCAUGGCAGGGAGGUUUGCCGCUAUCUGGACAAGGCCACCCUUCGGGGAGGCGACAGCUGCCCCAGCGAGUAAUGAGGAGCAGCGGCAGUGAUGGGGCAGAGUUGGGGCUGGGAGAUUAGAGAGCCCCUGCCAGGGCCUUUCCCUCCCGCCUGGCCUGGCUCCUGCUCUGGACUCCUUGAUGGAUGUUGAAGCCCACAGGGCUGCAGACUCCUCCUCCUUCCUGGGCACAGGCCAGGACACCCUACUCCGGCCUGCCCACUCCUGCAGUCAUCUUUGUCUUCAGACCAAAUGCACAAGUACUUUGUUAAAGGGCGCCAGGCUGUCCUUAGCAUGGUCCGGAAGGCAAAGUACCGGGAGCUGCUCCUAUCAGAGCUCCUGGGCCGGCGGGCACCUGUCGUGGUGCGGCUUGGCCUCACCUACCAUGUGCACGACCUCAUUGGGGCCCAGCUAGUGGACUGCAUCUCUACCACUUCAGGAACCCUCCUCCGCCUGCCAGAGACAUGAAGAUUCUGCUCAUUAUUGCUCAGCUCCUCAGAGUGGGCCGGGAGGGGACUAGAAGAGCUGCAUGAUGGUGGCUGAGACAGGGUCACCUUGGGAAGGCUUGGGAGCCAGGAUGAGUGUCGGGCUCUCGUGUGUGCAAAAGGUCAGAUGUGACUGCUGCUGUUUGCCUGGUUUCUGACCCAGUGGUGGGGUUUGAGCUAUGCUUCUCUGCCCUUCCAUGGAAAGUGAAACCAGAAAUGGUGCCAAGGCUGUGGCUGUUCCCUUUCGUGUAAAAUGGUGCUGUUAUUACUCUGUCUUGAAAUAGGAAGGUGGGAUUUCUGGGGAGGCUGGUGAAGGAGGGCAGGGUUCUUUUCUCUACGUGUCAUGUUAAAAUUGCCAAAUAAAGUACCUCUGCCUGUGA